RNAcentral lists this unclassified non-coding RNA (210 nucleotides) under Hevea brasiliensis (rubber tree). Lineage: Eukaryota; Viridiplantae; Streptophyta; Magnoliopsida; Malpighiales; Euphorbiaceae. The record is from RNAcentral.
GGAAAUUUUGGUAUAAGGAAUUGGAUAUGAGGGUCGUAACUGAUUGAGAUUAUAGCAAUGAGAGGCACAGAAGGUCUCAUUUGUUGAUGGAUAGGAAAUCCCUUGAUCUUUUAGGGUUGCUGAAAUCGUGGAUCCCUCAGCGGGAUUCUUCUGCUGACGUGUCGAGGGAUUUCUGGAUGCCCGACGAGAGCUGUAGGGUAUGUUAUGAGU